UACGAAGGGGGCUAGCGUUGCUCGGAAUUACUGGGCGUAAAGCGCACGUAGGCGGCUUUCUAAGUCGGGGGUGAAAUCCUGGAGCUCAACUCCAGAACUGCCUUCGAUACUGGAGAGCUUGAGUCCGGGAGAGGUGAGUGGAACUGCGAGUGUAGAGGUGAAAUUCGUAGAUAUCGAGAGGAACACCGGUGGCGAAGGCGGCCUUCUGGACAGUGACUGACGCUGAGACGCGAAAGCGUGGGGAGCAAACAGG
RNAcentral lists this ribosomal RNA (253 nucleotides) under uncultured bacterium. RNAcentral's name for it is "partial 16S ribosomal RNA". It matches the Rfam family "Bacterial small subunit ribosomal RNA", at positions 524 to 776 of the family's 1533-position model. The record is from RNAcentral.